Molecule: long non-coding RNA, 190 nt
Organism: Telopea speciosissima
Lineage: Eukaryota; Viridiplantae; Streptophyta; Magnoliopsida; Proteales; Proteaceae
Exons: 3
Source: RefSeq, a predicted model, not a curated record
CCUCUUUCCGAACUUUGCUUUUCAAAUUUGCAAAGUUUGAGAGAGCUUCGGCCAUGGCGGCUUCCUUUGCUAAAUGCUUUAUCAUAGUUAGUGUUCCUUCGAAUACUUCCUCACCUUCUACUCGAUCUUCGUUUCUUCCUCUGUACAAGCCUUAAUCCUUUGUUUCCUUAAAGGCUUCGUCUUCUCGAUC